This 413-nucleotide ribosomal RNA is filed under the name uncultured bacterium. RNAcentral describes it as "bacterial SSU rRNA". It matches the Rfam family "Bacterial small subunit ribosomal RNA", at positions 28 to 450 of the family's 1533-position model. The record is from RNAcentral.
GACGAACGCUGGCGGCGUGCUUAACACAUGCAAGUCGAGCGAUGAAGCACCUUCGGGUGUGAAUUAGCGGCGAACGGGUGAGGAACACGUGAGAAAUCUGCCUUCAACACUGGGAUAACUCCGGGAAACCGGGGCUAAUACCGGAUAUGAAACCUGCGGGCAUCCGCGGGUUUGGAAAGUUUUUCGGUUGAAGAUGAUCUCGCGGCCUAUCAGCUUGUUGGUGAGGUAAUGGCUCACCAAGGCGACGACGGGUAGCCGGCCUGAGAGGCGACCGGCCACACUGGGACUGAGACACGGCCCAGACUCCUACGGGAGGCAGCAGUGGGGAAUAUUGGGGCAAUGGAGGAAACUCUGACCCAGCGACGCCGCGUGCGGGAUGAAGGCCUCGGUGUAAGCACUUCAUGAGAAACAGG